RNAcentral lists this ribosomal RNA (411 nucleotides) under uncultured bacterium. Its description in RNAcentral is "bacterial SSU rRNA". It matches the Rfam family "Bacterial small subunit ribosomal RNA", at positions 370 to 772 of the family's 1533-position model. The record is from RNAcentral.
AAUGGGGGAAACCCUGACGCAGCAACGCCGCGUGGGUGAUGAAGGCCUUCGGGUCGUAAAGCCCUGUCGGGAGGGAAGAAAUGAUUGUGAGCUAAUACCUCGUGAUCUUGACGGUACCUCCGAAGGAAGCACCGGCUAACUCCGUGCCAGCAGCCGCGGUAAUACGGAGGGUGCAAGCGUUGUUCGGAAUUAUUGGGCGUAAAGCGCGUGUAGGCGGUUUCUUAAGUCUGAUGUGAAAGCCCCGGGCUCAACCUGGGAAGUGCAUUGGAAACUGGGGGACUUGAGUACGGGAGAGGGUAGUGGAAUUCCUAGUGUAGGAGUGAAAUCCGUAGAUAUUAGGAGGAACACCGGUGGCGAAGGCGGCUCUCUGGACCGAUACUGACGCUGAGACGCGAAAGCGUGGGUAGCAAA